RNAcentral lists this ribosomal RNA (951 nucleotides) under uncultured archaeon. RNAcentral describes it as "bacterial SSU rRNA". It matches the Rfam family "Archaeal small subunit ribosomal RNA", at positions 1 to 931 of the family's 1478-position model. The record is from RNAcentral.
UUUUCCGUUUGAUCCUGCCGGACCCCACUGCUAUCGAGGUGGGACUAAGCCAUGCUAGUCGAACGCACAGAACUAUGUCUGUGAGUGGCAUACUGCUCAGUAACACGUAGCUAACCUACCCUUCGGACGAGGACAACCCCGAGAAAUUGGGGCUAAUCCUCGAUAGAUGUGAUGUCCUGGAAUGGUAUCAUGCCUAAAGGUAUAUCAUACAUGUUUGACAUACGCCUAAGGAUGGGGCUGCGGCUGAUCAGGCAGUUGGUGAGGUAAUGGCUCACCAAACCAUUGACCAGUACGGGCCAUGAGAGUGGUAGCCCGGAGAUGGACACUGAGACAAGGGUCCAGGCCCUACGGGGCGCAGCAGGCGCGAAACCUCCUCAAUGCACUAACGUGCGAAGGGGUUACCUCGAGUGCUAUCUGAAGAAGGUGGCUUUUCCAUGGUUUAAAAAGCCUAGGGAAUAAGAGGGGGGCAAGACUGGUGUCAGCCGCCGCGGUAACACCAGCCCCUCGAGUGGUGGGGAUGAUUAUUUGGCCUAAAGCGUCCGUAGCCGGCCAGAUAAGUUUCCCGUUAAAUCCAACGUCUCAAGCGUUGGACUGCGGGAAAUACUGUCUGGCUAGAGAGUGGGAGAGGUUAGCGGUAUUCUGGGGGUAGGGGCGAAAUCCUUUGAUCCCCGGAGGACCACCAGUGGCGAAGGCUGCUAACUAGAACACGUCUGACGGUCAGGGACGAAAGCUGGGGUAGCGAACCGGAUUAGAUACCCGGGUAGUCCCAGCCGUAAACGAUGCAUGCUAGGUGUUGGGUUGGCCAAGAGCCACCCCAGUGCCGCAGGGAAGCCGUUAAGCAUGCCGCCUGGGAAGUACGAUCGCAAGAUUGAAACUUAAAGGAAUUGGCGGGGGAGCACCACCAGGCGUGAAGCCUGCGGUUUAAUUGGAGUCAACGCCGGAAUCACUAGU